AAACCGGAUGUAACAUUUUGUUAAAGUAAACACAUCGCACAUGGUACUUGGAACUUACGCGAUGAAAAUUACAUAUCUAACCAAUACAAAGAAUUAGUAAAUUUUAUUAUCGUUAAGUGUUGUCCCAAAUAAUUCCAAUCAUCUUUGAAAAAAAUCUAUUUUUACAGACAAUACCAUAAAAAAAUGGUAAUAUUUAUUUUAUUUGCUAGAACAAUAAUUCCAGAAAAAAAUUCCAAUAGGAUGGAAAUAAAUUAAAACUACCGCAAUAUUUUUACAUUUACUAACCGUGGGAAAAUAUUUAAUUUUGGUAAAGUACGACAUUUCGGAUUUAUAGUUGUGAGAAAAUGGUAUGUUAUACAGUUAACAUUUUCCCAAGGUCAUUAAAUGCAUAAAUAAAGGGGAAGACCUGAAGUUUUUACUCGAUAACCUAAUCAAACCCAGGCAAAACGAUAAUACAUCCAAAUGCAUUUCACCUAAUGAAAAUAGAAAUUUAAAUUUUACUGUCCUCUUUCUCGCUUUCUUCUACAAAUCUAAUGGUCAACUUCGAGUGGUACAUAUUUUGUAUGAAAAUUUUCGUCAGUUUUAUUACCAUUAAUAAUAUCCUGUGUUUGUUUAUAUGCUGGUCAAGUUAGUCGUUUUGAGUAUCGUAACGCCUUCGACUUGGUGUCAGCUAUUUUACUCAAGAAGUUAUGUGUUUGGCAUAAAUGAUUACCGUUUCAGCUCCAUAGAAUACGAUUGUUUUUGUCUAUCUUGAUUUUGAUAGAGAGGUCGAAUAAAAGCAGCAGCAACCUUUACCAUUCUGUGUUGUUAAUUUGAGGUUAGCUUGACAGGAACAACCUUUACUUUAAGGAAUUGUUUAACUCUAUUGAUGAAUUCGCUCCAAAUACCCAAAAUUAUUUUUCAGAGAUUGAAGUUUCGGAUCUGAGCACAUCUACCCAUAUUUAAGUAUUUUGAUAAAGUUACGUCCCUUUGUCGUUGCUGUAUAAAAUAUCCGAAACACUUUUCUAAGAGGAUGUAAUAGGUUUCCUCAGCAGGUUAGAUAACGAAUAACUGCAUUUUUAAGAGUCCAUAAUCUAGUACUAAUGUUUAUACUAUUUGAUUUCCAUUUUCUAAAAAACUAUUCCUUCGAACAUUCCCUAAAAAGCGCGAUAACAUUCUUCAGCGGACACUAAAUCUCAUUUGUAUUUUUUAAAUUUUAGUUUCUUGUCUGUUGCUUCGUUAAACGAAUCUUCCGUCAGCAAUCUUAACGCCCCUCAAUUAAGGGUUCUAGCAAAAGGGAAAACUGCUCACUUCGUCUACCGUUACCAAAUGUUUUUCUAAGGUGUAAAGCGAACGUAGCAGCAAACACUAAGAAACGUUACAUGGUUGGUUCAUUUUCUUGGUCAUUUUGAACCAAUCAGACCAUUUCCUUUUGUUGCAAAUCGUUUUUUACUGAUAGACCACAGUUACUGUUUUCAUCUAUGUUGUUUUGGUACCUAAAGUUGCCUGAAGAGGAAAAGAUAGCUGUCUUUAAGACUAAAUACACAGAUAUUUUACUUUAACAAAUUACAUUAUUUACAUUUGACGGAUAUUUAAAUAUAGAACUGUUUUAACAAAUUAGUUGUGCUUCAGAUUCUUUGUCAGUAAGGCAUUCUCUCUUUGUCCUUUUCUGGACAACAGUCUCAAAUUCAUCAACAUUCCAGCCAAAUACUGCAGCAGAUUAUCACUCAGUUGCCUUCAGAACUACAAUCAACUACUAUUAACAAGAUGUAAGGUCACAGUAUAAACAAAACAUGACAUCUGUACCUUUAGAAUUACAACCAGUUGCCAUGAAACUCUGUCAUCAUCACAGAACUAACCACAGCAACCAACAUAUUUCCUACUUAUCAACUUUUACCAACUUCUCAACUGAAAAUACCAACUCUAUGUCAGAACACCAUCUUCUCUUCAUAUCAACACAAGUUAUUACAAAGUGUUGACCAGAAUAACAGACCAGAUAUUUCCAACUCUUGAAUAAAAGACAUUAGGUAAAAAUAUUACAAUUGUUAUUCUUUGUCUCACUCUUGUUCUGCCUUAAAAAUUCUAUUAGUAACUCUAGCAUUAUUACAUUCUUUUGAGGUUUUGCUGUUGAUGUCUGUUGGGCUUUUUAUAAUAGCCUUUGUGUUGUCUGACAUAGAUACCAUGUUUUGUUUAUACUGUGGCAUCAUGUUCUAAAAUGCAAACAGUAGUGUUUAUUUGAUGGUUGACUGUCAUGUACUUUGAGCUUCUACACACUUCAAUAUUUUACUUUGCAUGCAUGUUGAAAAUGUAUACAUACUUUUGGUUGUUACAGCUGUAUAUAUUUUUUAUUUCAUACAAACAUGUACACAUGCAUAUAUUUUUGCCACCAUAAUCUUGUGUUGUUCAAAAAUUUGGAAUUCUAUACACAGCAAUAUUAUAUUUUCAUCUAUCAGUUCCAAACUUAAUAUUAUUUAGAUUGCUAACAUUUCUCGUCUAAAGCCUUAUUUGAUCUCAAUGUUUUUGUAUUGUAGCUUAUAGAUGUUUCUGUUCCAUUCAGAUGUACUUACUAUCUUGAAUAAAAGAUGUGUUUCAACAAU
RNAcentral lists this long non-coding RNA (2576 nucleotides) under Octopus vulgaris (common octopus). Lineage: Eukaryota; Metazoa; Mollusca; Cephalopoda; Octopoda; Octopodidae. The record is from RNAcentral.